RNAcentral lists this long non-coding RNA (783 nucleotides) under Equus asinus (donkey). RNAcentral describes it as "lncRNA (ENSEASG00005037802.1)". The record is from RNAcentral. Lineage: Eukaryota; Metazoa; Chordata; Mammalia; Perissodactyla; Equidae.
CUUAGCUUUAAUGUUUACUCACCAUCGUAGAAGCAAACAAUAUUUUCUGUUCUCUUCAAAUGUCAUCAGAAUCCCUGUCCCCAUUCCCGCGUUAGGAAUUUAGACACAAAUUAGAACUGGCUUUGGUGGCUGUCACCAUAGGAAAAGUGAGGACAUUGAUGGUGGAGGAGAACCUGGCAGCCGUGAAUGAUCCUGCCAAAACUUUAGCAACUUUGCCAUGGAUUCUCCCCCUUAAAAAAUGUAAGAGAGAAAAAGACCAGAAAACCAACAGGAUGAGAUAAGGCAAAGGAGUCUGAUGUCAGCCUUGUUUAUUCUGCUAGAAGCUGACCAGGGGAGACAUUACAAAGCUAUGAAAAUGCAGUCCUUACCUUCGAUGAACUUAACAGUCAAAUGGAAGAGACAAAGUCACAAACCCAAAUCAUGGCACAAGUUAUAAAAGAUAUUUGAAGAUGAGACAGUUUCCCUCAUCCUGGUUGCAAGACGAUUGCCUGGAGCUGCAUAUUUCCACGUCAUAUUUCCAAGUAUUCCAAGCAAAGUUCCCAAGAUUCCCUCUGGACCAGCCUAGGUCAUGUGUCCACCCUAACCAGUUUGGCAAAGGAAAUGUAAUGCCCAGAUUGGCUUAAGCCAACAUCGUGUACUUCAUCUUAUACUGAAGGUAGAGCUCCUCUCAGAUCAUGUGGCCUGAAAAUGGAAAUCAGACCGUGGUUAGAAGAUGGGUGAAUGGAUGCUGGAAAGGCAAGUAAUAAAUGUGCUUUCUGCAUACUAGAUGUAAUUGUAGUCAAA